GGACUACUCGGGUAUCUAAUCCUGUUCGCUCCCCUAGCUUUCGCGCCUGAGCGUCAGACACUCCCCAGGACACUGCCUUCGCCUUUGGUAUUCCUCCGGAUAUCUACGCAUUUCACCACUCCACCCGGAAUUCUAUGUCCCUCUUGAGUGCUCAAGUCUGAGAGUUUUCGAAGGCCUUGCUCAGUUAAGCCGAGCACUGUCACUCCAAACUUCCCAGACCGCCUGCGCGCCCUUUACGCCCAGUAACUCCGGACAACGCUCGCCCCCUACGUAUUACCGCGGCUGCUGGCAC
Molecule: ribosomal RNA, 292 nt
Filed under: uncultured bacterium
Lineage: Bacteria
Description: partial 16S ribosomal RNA
Source: RNAcentral